This 497-nucleotide ribosomal RNA is filed under the name uncultured bacterium. RNAcentral's name for it is "partial 16S ribosomal RNA". It matches the Rfam family "Bacterial small subunit ribosomal RNA", at positions 28 to 507 of the family's 1533-position model. The record is from RNAcentral.
GAUGAACGCUGGCGGCGUGCCUAAUACAUGCAAGUCGAGCGAACGGACGAGAAGCUUGCUUUUUUGAUGUUAGCGGCGGACGGGAGAGUAACACGUGGAUAAUCUACCUAUAAGUCUGGGAUAACUUCGGGAAACCGGAGCUAAUACCGGAUAAUAUUUUGAACCGCAUGGUUCAUAAGUGAAAGACGGUCUUGCUGUCACUUAUAGAUGGAUCCGCGCUGCAUUAGUUAGUUGGUAAGGUAACGGCUUUACAAGGCGACGAUGCAUAGCCGACGUGAGAGGCUGGUCGGCCACAGUGGAACGGGGACCGGGUCCCGGCUCCUGCGAGAGGCAGCAGAAGGGUAUCGUCGGCAGUAGUCGGGAGUCUGACAGAACGACGACUCGUGGGUUCUAGAGAUCUACGGGUCGGAAUGAUCUGCUGUUGGAGGAAAACAUAUGUGUAAGGCACUGUGCACAUCUUGACGGUACCUAAUCAAGAAGCCACGGCUAACUACGUG